CAGCCGCCACGGGAAUACGAAGGGUGCAAGCGUUAAUCGGAAUUACUGGGCGUAAAGCGCGCGUAGGUGGUUUGGUAAGAUGGAUGUGAAAUCCCCGGGCUCAACCUGGGAACUGCAUCCAUAACUGCCUGACUAGAGUACGGUAGAGGGUGGUGGAAUUUCCUGUGUAGCGGUGAAAUGCGUAGAUAUAGGAAGGAACACCAGUGGCGAAGGCGACCACCUGGACUGAUACUGACACUGAGGUGCGAAAGCGUGGGGAGCAAACAGGAUUAGAUACCCCUGUAGUCCCUGUCUCUUAUAC
This 301-nucleotide ribosomal RNA is filed under the name uncultured bacterium. RNAcentral's name for it is "partial 16S ribosomal RNA". It matches the Rfam family "Bacterial small subunit ribosomal RNA", at positions 509 to 807 of the family's 1533-position model. The record is from RNAcentral.